UGCCAGCAGCCGCGGUAAUACGGAGGGGGUUAGCGUUGUUCGGAAUUACUGGGCGUAAAGCGCACGUAGGCGGAUUAGAAAGUUAUUUGUUAAAUCCUAAAGCCCAACUUUAGAACAGCAUUUAAUACUACUUUACUUGAGUUUUGUUCGGAAGAGUAGAAUUCCACGUUUAGGGAUAAUCCCCGUAGAUAUGUGGAGGAACACCAUUAGCGAAGGCGACUCUUUGGUAAAAACUGACGUUGAGGGACGAAAGUGUAGGGAGCAAACAGGAUUAGAUA
This 278-nucleotide ribosomal RNA is filed under the name uncultured bacterium. Its description in RNAcentral is "partial 16S ribosomal RNA". It matches the Rfam family "Bacterial small subunit ribosomal RNA", at positions 506 to 784 of the family's 1533-position model. The record is from RNAcentral.